GGGGAAUCUUGCACAAUGGGCGAAAGCCUGAUGCAGCGACGCCGCGUGAGGGAUGACUGCCUUCGGGUUGUAAACCUCUUUCAGCAGGGACGAAGCGAAAGUGACGGUACCUGCAGAAGAAGCACCGGCCAACUACGUGCCAGCAGCCGCGGUAAUACGUAGGGUGCAAGCGUUGUCCGGAAUUAUUGGGCGUAAAGAGCUCGUAGGCGGUUUGUCGCGUCGGCUGCGAAAACCUGGGGCUCAACCCCGGGCCUGCAGCCGAUACGGGCAAACUAGAAUUCGGUAGGGGAGACUGGAAUUCCUGGUGUAGCGGUGAAAUGCGCAGAUAUCAGGAGGAACACCGGUGGCGAAGGCGGGUCUCUGGGCCGAUAUUGACGCUGAGGAGCGAAAGCGUGGGGAGCGAAC
Molecule: ribosomal RNA, 405 nt
Filed under: uncultured bacterium
Lineage: Bacteria
Description: bacterial SSU rRNA
Rfam family: Bacterial small subunit ribosomal RNA
Source: RNAcentral